UCAUUCACAAGGAAACAGACAGCUACUAGCCAGUAGACGGGAGGCAACAAAUGAUCGCGUUUUAAUACAUUAUUUAUCACCUGUUCAAUUCAAACAUCUUUCUUGUGCAGCUCAUCAGUUCAGCAACACUGAAAGCCUCUUACUCACUCGCUGCUGUAUCAAUACAGACAACAAAGGUGUCCUGAUACUACCGAAGCAGUCACUGAUUACCUGAGAACUUCUUGGUUUUUGCCUUUAGUAUUCUGUUUGGAGCACUCUUUUUCUGGGUCAAGCCAUUUCAGUGGUGGAAACAACCUUCUUUCAUUCUCAAGCAUACACGGCAGCACUCUAUACGUUGAGAGGAUAUGGGUUUGAACACCGGCAGGUGUACGAACUCCCAACAUGCUGGGGAGAUGUAUUUGUCAUGUUGUUAACUGAGAUGUGUGUGACUUGGCUCUUGCAAAUGUUUCCUUUAGGGCUGAAAACUCUCCAAGACCCAGCUAAGGCUUCAUGUCCCUUUGCAAAGCUGUGCCCACCUGGCCAUUUUCAAAGUGCUGGAGGUUGGUCUGGGGCCAAGCAUCUCAGGUUUCUUAAAGGCCAGGGCUCUUUCUAUUUGCCAUGGUGGAUGGUGUGGAGUCAUUACUGUGCUAUAGUAGUCAUGACUGCCAUUUAUAAAGCUACCUGUCCUUAUCUGAGAAAAGAUCCUUUAUGCAUAUGCAAAUGUAUCUCCCUUUUCUUGGUUUGUAUACCUCUCCUUUGUGCUGUAUAGUAACCAUUGAGGGAUGUUCAGAAUCCAAACUUCGUCACACAUUAUUGCUCUAAGUAAUAAUGGAUUUGGAAUCUAAAUCUGGAGUUCACUGGUAGGAAUCAGUGAACCUUGUUCCUCUUAUGUACAUGUAACAAUGUCCCCUGUCAACAACUGUCAGUAGAAACACAUGUGGGGGAGAAUAGUAUUAAUUAUAUUCAAUUCCAUGUCAUAAAGGAGUGAUCCAUAUAAUCACCACCAUGUUUUGUACAUAUAAAAAUAUUUCCUGUAAAUAUACACAGGCAAGUGCAUUGCCAUUAUCCAGGAUCCAGGUGGGAAAAGAUAAAGUCAAGGACUUUAGUUUAUUCCAAGUGCAUAUUUUAGUUCUGGUAAAGGAGUUAAUACUUUCAGGGAUUUGUGACACAAUUAUAGAUCUAAUUACUUAAGUUCCUGGUACCAAGUAGGUUAUUUCUACCUGAUCUUCAAAGCCCAGACUCCCCAAGACAGAGACGUACAACCUUGGCCAAGUCAGUAUUAAGCAAAUGAUUUAACAUCUAAUGAGUUAAGAGGUUCCCUAAAAUUAUUUUCCAAUCCUGGUGUCCAGGAACCCAGGGAAGAAUCUAGUCAUGGGUGUGCAUUUAUUUAAUAGAGAUUGAAGAAAAUCACUUGGAAGCUAAGAGUGUUGGUAUUCUAAUAAAAGAAUAGAUUUAGCUUAUAAGAAAAAAAAUCUGGAUUUUUGGAGAAAUUGUUUUUCAUUUAAUCAGAAGCACAUGACAGAAAAAGGAAGCACAUUUGUAUAUAGUGGCAACUAUAUUUCUGAUAAUAAAUUUCAUGAAAUGUUUUCUGUACCAAUCAGAAUAGGCAGCUGAGAACCUUCCUCUCUGAAAAUAAGACAGUUAUUCAAUGAGUACAUUCUUAGGAAAGCUUUCUCACUUUCUUUCAUGAAAAUAUUAGAUUUUGGAAGUUUAAAAUAACUGUAUACCUGUGGAUAGCCUCGAUUCAUGUAACUACAUUCAGGUCAGAUCUUUUAUAAGAAUAGUUAUUGUUGAUAAAUAUAUGGUAUUUUCAAAAAGCAUUUUUAGAUAUCCAUUUAUGGAAGCUUUUUAGAGGAUUAAGUUCUUCCUUUGGUUCUUAGUUUCCUUUCUCAUGUGAGUAGCAGCAGAAGAAAGCAACCAGCCAUUUGAAUUAGCUUAUUACAAAAUGUGGAGUAUGUAUAAACUUUAAAUGAUAUAAUAUUUGGAUUAAUAAAACAGAAUAUAAACACUAUAGAACAGUCAAAAACUACUAUUCUUGAAGCCAGAAAAAAAUCAUUUGGAGACAUAUAACAUAUUAAAAAUAUGGGGACAUAUAACAUAUUAAAAAUGCAAUAGCAGAGAUUGAACUGAUUGACUCACAAUUCUAUAAUUUAUGGAAGAAAGAAAAACAUUAGAGGGUAAGUUUAAGCUGUUUUGAAGACACUUUCCCUUGGUUUUCUGAUAUGUUCUUUUCAAAUAUUCUGAAAAUUUAAGAAGUAUGUGUUUCAGGUACUUAUGGCUAAGUUUUGAUAUUUGAUUGGGUUAUUCCAUAUUUUCAUCUUUCCAAAAAGAGUUUAUGUUUUAACACUUUCAGGAUGUUAAAGAUGUCCUCAAAAUGGUUCAUUGGACAUGGUGAGUGUCAAUGAAUAUUUACUGUAUAAUGAGAUCUGAGGUUAACAACAAUAAAACUGCAAAUCAGAAUAGAAAUAUGUUUCCUAACUUUUCCAUGUAAACAAUAUUUCAAUGUGUAUAAAAGUGUUUAGUUCCUCAGUUUUGUGCUACAUAUGAUUUGAAGCAGUCUGACCCGGAUGGCACCAGAUUGAAUCAGUCUUCCCACUCCACGAGGGCUCCAUGUUUAUCAAGGUCUCUUCCUUCUAAAACUGGGAGCCCUGUUAGGAUUAGCAACAUGUUCUAAGAUGGGCCCAUAGGGUACUUGCCUCUGUGCCUUGCUAACCAAGCUUAGGAUUUGACAAUGGGCAUGAAAUGUUCAUAAAGAAUUGCUUUGAUGAUGCUUCACAAACAGAAAGAAGGUCUCUGGGGGAGGAAGGAAGGUUGGGGAGGGGCUGGAAUUUUAUCUUACCUUCUCAUGUGUUCCUAUUGGGGAAAGAAAAACCAGGAAAUCCCUUGAAGCUCUGAGAAUCAGACAAUACCAGGCUUCCAGCUGGACACUACAGAAGCCAAGUGCCACACCCCACUGCAGGUCUCAGUGGGGCCCCAGGACUUCACAUCUUUAACAAGUCUGAGUGGUGCUGAGGAUGUGGUUAUGGGGACUGUUCCCUUCCCAGGGUUAGGGCAACAACUAAAAGAGAAAGAUGCUGACAGUCCAUGGUUUGUUAGGCUAAAACAGGCCUGCCUGGAUCUCACACUCUUUUGCAUCUCUUCUCUGAACCUGGGGGCUUGACAUGAACUUCUGGAGAUGCCUGGCCACUCUGGGAUGAGGUAAGAGGCUCCAGAGUCAUCAUCACUUUGAAACUAUUUUGAGGAAGAUCCACCUCAGUGUCCCUAGAUUAUAGUCACUGAGGUAAGACACAACCUCGACAUUUCCUAGCCAGACAUCUUGGCAGAUGAUUUAACCUCCGUGCCCCUAAUUUCCUCAUCUACAAAUGGGAAGAACAAGAAUUAGCUGCUUCCUGGACUGUAGUCCAUGAACAUGGUAUGUGUAAAGUAGUGGCUCAUAGCAAGCAAGAGAAUUAGUCAGAAAAAAGGCAGUUCAGAGGGUACAAAUGAGGAGGUUACAAUGCAGGAACUACACACAGAAGAGUAUAAAAAUGUUCAGGUACUCAGAGAGGAAACUAAGCCUCUGGAGGUCAGAGAGAUCCACAGCUUGCAGGAGGACCACCCUGGAAAGAGCUACUGUAGUCAUAUAAGGGAUAAGCCACUGCCCAGGAUUCUGCAUCAGUGUGAGAUUGUGGUAAAAUAUAUAUAUGCUGGCAUCUCUUUCUUCCCCCUGCUGUUCUUCAAGGUCUCUGAUUAGCAAUAGCAGAAGGCAAGAGGACCAGCUACAGUGUGCAGGAGUCUGCCUCCCACAGGGCAGAGCAGAGAGAGAAACACAUCAAGGAUGGAGCAGUGGCAGGUGGGGGGUCUGGAACACAGUGCCGGAUAGGUGUGUAGUUGCUACUGGAUGAAGAUUUACACCAGUUUCUUGGAAAUUUCAAUUUAUGCUUGUGGUAUACUUUCAAUCUUAAAGGUAUUUCAUAUCUCAGGGGAUGUUUGCACCAACACUCUAAAACACCAUGUCAUUUGGAGUUCAAGUUACACGAGCACUCUAGUCAUUAUCAAAGUGUGGGAGAAUCUGUGAUGUGGCAGACUUGAAUACUUUCUCUCUGCCCAGUGCAGCAUUCCUGGAAGUGGCUUCUCCCUUAGAACAGAAAGCAAGUUCAGUCACUUGGCCCUGACUCGAUGAAAUUAAUGUUUGGUCUAUUGAUCAGGCAGGUGUUACCUGGGUGUGUCGGGUGGGGAAAGACACAUCUAGCACACUCAGAACAGCAAACAUUUGUGAUAUGUUGACUUUGUCUUAUUUAUAUCAUGCAGCAAUAAAUGUGUUUGUUGUUGCUAAGUCCCUAAGCCAUAUCCCUUUCAGAAGCUAUCAGACUGGCUGGGCCAAGAGCACAGAGGGAGACUCUUUUCCUGGAGUGGUGUAGAAAAGCCUGGAAGCCUGGCAUCUCUCUGAAAUGCUGUAUCAAAGGCCCAGCCCAGCACACAGGGCAGUGGGUAUACGAGGCCUGCCUCUGAGAAUCCUCCAAGGAGGCCUCGAGGAGCCAAGGCACACUUAAGCUUGUCUCCAAAGAACCCAAAACUCAUCCCAGACUUGCUUUGUCUGUUUAGCAAACUCACUGCACACCUCACCUGUCUUUGCGCCUGCCGUCUAGGAGGGUCUUUGAAAUUUAUUUUCUCCUUUUAGCCUGCUGUAUUUUUAAUGUCUGAGUGAAAGAACAAAGGAAGGCGAACACCAGACAAGAUCGUUUCAUUCCUCCAUGAGCUGCGGUGUAGCUCCGCUCAAGCUCAGCUAACAUCAAUGUUUUAAAAUUCCGUCUUUGCUAGAGAACCGGUGCUGGGGUAGUCAUCCACGCCAAAGUCAGGGCCCUGUUUCUGCCUUUCAUUUGGGGACAUAAAAGGCCCGUGCAUCAAUCAUUAACAAUCUAUUAACACUAGCAGCUCAGAGAGGUUUUCCUGGUAUGGUCAACCUCAUUGGAAGAAAUUCCUGCUGCCCAGCUGGCCGUCUGUCCGUGUGAUCCACCCAUACUGGCUGUUUUCAGCUUUGAAAGGGCUCACUGACUCCUCUUUCAUCUCUCCCUGAGUAAUAGAUACCUGGUAGGCUGGCUCUCCUCCUCCCCCACUGUCAGCUUCCCCACCUGCCUCCUCAGACUUCUGGCUUGAAGAACCGCUUGCGUGAACACUGACACUAUUGAUUGUGUGUAAGUGGCGUGCGGGGCUGCUAGACAUCUACCUGGAUAUGCAGGCAAGAGGAUAGGGCUGGUUCAUCUACAUGAGCAGAGCAGGGAGGGUCUUGGAAGUCUCUGCUUGGUGUUCCCGACUGUUGAAUUUAAUUGGUUUAAACCAGUCGGCAGGAAGAGGUCUAGCUCAUCAAUCAGAACCUGCUUUGGAAAAGGCUGAUGGAUUGGGUGCACAUCUGGAAGUUCUGCAAAACCUAGAGAGUUUUGGUCUAGACUUUCCUUUCCUCCCUCUGUGACAAAAUACACACCACACAAAUGUUACCAUUGUGACUACUUAAAGAUAGACUCAGAGACAUUGAAGCAGCUCCAUGGCAUUGCACCACACCCACCCACAGCUUUCAUGAAUCUUCCUAACUUAAAGACUCUCCAUGCAACCUUAGUCAGUAAAUCAGCCUGUCUCAGCCCCCAUUGUCCUUAAAAACCACUGUUUGACCUCUCUCUGAGUUUAACCCUCAGCUUUAUAUAUGUGAAGUCACACAGUGACUGGCUGUGACUGGCUCCUUUCAAUGCACAUGCCAGCAUUUUAUAAUAAAUAAUUCUAUAAUAAGUAAAAUAUUUAUAAUAUAUUUUAUUAUAAAAAACUAUUUAUAAUAAGCAAAUAGUAUUUAUUUAGUCAUUUAUUUACUUUACCACAGUCUGCAUGUCCCCUCACUUACCCAUGGAUGUCCUGUUGUCUCUAACUUUGGCCGAUUGCGAACGGUGUUAUUAUAAACACGUGUGCAGAGACUGCCCUCCAGAAUCUCUGCUCUUGAUUGUCUGGGUUAGAAACCCAGAGGUAGACCACCAGAGCACUUGUCAGUCCUGUGUUUAGAAUUUUCAGGCUCUGUCAUACUGCUUUCCAUACCAGUUAUCCUGUGCCUUACCUACACCCAGCACUACACGGGAGGUCCAAGUUUUGUAGGGAUUACUGAAGUGCCAGUGCUCUCCCCCCAAUGCUUUUUUCCCCUCCUCCUCAGCGGAGGGGAAGACCACAGGCAACUUAAUGGGAUAUUUAGCUGAACUCACCCCUCAGCUGCCUCUUGUAUGUGAUUGAUAUCUAGAAGCUCUGUGGCAUUUCUUUCAAAGUAGAGUCUCAUCCUGGUCCAGCUGGCCCCUCCCCAGUGUCCUCCAUGUUCCUUCUGCUGCAGGGUGCCCUGGCAUUUUCUUCCUUCAACAAUGAAAUGAGAUUCCCUGGGAGGUGUACAUGCCAUGUGGUGUGUCCGUUUGCCUAUUAUGGACAAGGGUUGCUUCUGCCUUCUAGAUAAUGUAAAUAACGUUGUUAACAAUGUAGGUUUACAAAUAUCUUCUCUGGUUCCUCUGGACCCGCUGGCAGGUGGGAAUGAAGUUUCUGUAUCUUCAGGUAAGUCACGUUUAAUUUUUUGAGGUACCACCUUACCGUUUAUCCUCAGGGGCUGUACCAUCUAACUUUCUGUCAGUAACACACAGGGCUCUUGCCAACAAUUGUUACCUUUUCUUGUUAUUGUUGUUUUCAUUUUAGUGCUGACUUUGAUACUGAGUCAUCAAAUGACCUUCACCAGGUGAGGAAGUCACUAGUCUCUGACCAGCUUUCCUGCUUGGAGCAGCUGUUCUCCUCUGACAGUGAGCAUAAGUUGCUGGCCACAGUGUCUUCAUUCGGCCUCUGUCUCAUUCUCUUGGUGCCAGUUUCUUCACCUUACAAAUGGGAACAAUGUAUUCCUCUCCUCUCUCUCAGAGAGCUGCUGUGCCAGACAAAGGCGUUGAGGACCAGCUGUAGGGAAGGAAAUUGAAGGGCUGGAGAACUAUGGAAUGAGAAGAUACAAGGAAGGAACCAAGAACCCAGUGAGAGGUGACUAGUAUGACGGUGGGUGUCAUUUCUCUCUCCCCAUUCCCUCCCAGCCACCUUUCCCUCCCACUCGUCCCUCCUGGCUCCUUGUUUGUGAUUCCUCGCUGCCUUGUUUAACUAUCAGAACCCGUGCCAAAACCCAUACUUAGCUGCUGAAAGCUCCUUGCCGGGUUGCCUCUGAAGUUAAUGGCAGAGUCUUUGAAAAUGACCUUAGAAGCAAAUCAUAAGCAACCGAGGACAUGAAACUACCUCAAGUCCGUCUGUUGGAGUGCGAGCCACCUCCAAGCUUCCAUUCCCAUGUAAAACAGAAGAUAUGAUUUAUAAUUUAUAGCGCAUCGGUACAGCCCUGAUUGAAGCAAACCACUUUGAUGAAGAGUUGGUUUCAUGCUAGUGUCGUGGAACACCACUCCAAAUCAGAAAAUAUUUAGAACUCCAACUCCUCUGCUCUGACUUUGAAGUAAAGAGAUUUGUAUUUUAUGUGCUUCUCUGAACGAAAAAAAAAUAAAGAAAAAUGUGUGUACACUCCAACAUGCAUGUGGUAGGAAUAUGAAAACAUUUACAUGUGUAUCAGCACCAAAAUGUAAUUACUGCAUUAGGCACUGAAAAUAUUUAUAGACUCAUAUCUCAUGUGGAAGACCUGGUUCCAAUAAUUCUCAGAAAAUUGUGAAAUUCAGACUUUGUUUUCUUGGGACUAACUUAAUUUAUUUGAAAUUGACAACACAUGAAGGACAAAAAUCAAAGCCCGUCAACUUUCCACCACCCCAGCUAAUGACCUAUUAAAGUUAUUUUUCUACAACAACAGAAAUCUUACAUGCUUGGGGAAGUGAAGAAACUUAAGAGAAAGAAGAAAGAAGCUCCUUUUGCUUAGUGGAGUAUUAUUUCCAGCCACCAAAGGAACCAGCCUGUAAGUCUCCUCAACCCCCACUGGAUUCCUGGCUGAAUCUCCUGGUUCAACAAGCGUCACUGACGACAACGUGGCAUUUUGCCUUCAGCAUGCUCAUCCUUCUCCCUCUAGCCACAGAUCUGGAUCCAUAAACUACAACUUUGGGCACCGUCCAUAGGGUGUGGAUGGAUAACUGGGUGAACCAGGGGGCCAUAGCUCUGGUGUACCAGAGGAAACGGAUACAUGAUCUUCAUAGGAGGCAAUAAAAGCCAUGGGAAAUGCCCAGGGAGCAGAGGGAGAAAGGAAUGAGUAUGGCUCUCUCUAACCUGUCCCCGCAGAUCCAGGCCAGGCUUGAGAGUCAGUCCUGGCCCCCAGCACCUGUCUGUACUAGGCAAUCUUCCUCACCUAAAUUCUCCUGCAGUCUCCUAGGAUUAAACACCUUAUAAAGAAAUCUGACCAUGCUUGCUCAACUACCUUCUGUGGUUCCUCAUUGCCCACAGACCAAACAGGUGUGAAAUAGACAGCACGUGACAACAGGGGUUGGGGAAGCCUGUGACAAACUGCUGCUUGUCCCUGCUGCUCUGUGCUACUGUGUUUCAGAUGUGCCAAUGGUUUUUAAAGCAAAAGCCGGAGAGAUGUGUUUCUGGGUGGCACAGCACUUUGUGGAUUUAGCAGUAGUCCUUGGCCGCCUUCAUGUGUCUCUCCAGAGCUGACAUGUGACUGGGGAGGAAAGGUGCUCAGUGGGAUGGACAGGGUCUCCAAAUGGACCCUACAGCUGGGGCUGUCCUGUCAUCACGUCCCACCCCAUACCCAGCCAGGGAUCCUUUGUUCAAGGUAACCAUGUUGUAUAUCUUGUGCAUGCCUGUGUGAGCUUACAAGGCUUUUCUGACCCUGCCACCCAGCUGAGAGCAUUCUUCCCCUACCCUAUGCCUUCAGAGCUCCACUCCAGUGGUGCCUCCUCUGAGAAGUCCCCCCAGAUAACUCCUGUAACAACGGAAGGGACAGCACACUACCUGAGCUUCCUGAAGCCCCACAGUAGCUUCUGAUACAUGCUGGGACUCUCUGGACCUCUCUGACCUGUCAGUAUGUGGCCAGGUACUUUCUUACUUGUAGUGUGAGCACACAUUGAUGAUGCUGC
RNAcentral lists this long non-coding RNA (9014 nucleotides) under Cricetulus griseus (Chinese hamster). RNAcentral describes it as "lncRNA (ENSCGRG00015040695.1)". The record is from RNAcentral. Lineage: Eukaryota; Metazoa; Chordata; Mammalia; Rodentia; Cricetidae.